GCUCAGAUUGAACGCUGGCGGCAUGCCUUACACAUGCAAGUCGAACGGUAACAGGUUAAGCUGACGAGUGGCGAACGGGUGAGUAAUAUAUCGGAACGUGCCCAGUAGUGGGGGAUAGCCCGGCGAAAGCCGGAUUAAUACCGCAUACGACCUACGGGUGAAAGGGGGGGAUCGCAAGACCCCUCGCUAUUGGAGCGGCCGAUAUCAGAUUAGCUAGUUGGUGGGGUAAAAGCUCACCAAGGCGACGAUCUGUAGCUGGUCUGAGAGGACGACCAGCCACACUGGGACUGAGACACGGCCCAGACUCCUAUGGGAGGCAGCAGUGGGGAAUUUUGGACAAUGGACGCAAGUCUGAUCCAGCCAUGCCGCGUGCGGGAAGAAGGCCUUCGGGUUGUAAACCGCUUUUGUCAGGGAAGAAAAGCUCCGAACUAAUAAUUUGGGGUGAUGACGGUACCUGAAGAAUAAGCACCGGCUAACUACGUGCCAGCAGCCGCGGUAAUACGUAGGGUGCAAGCGUUAAUCGGAAUUACUGGGCGUAAAGCGUGCGCAGGCGGUUCUAUAAGACAGAUGUGAAAUCCCCGGGCUCAACCUGGGAACUGCAUUUGUGACUGUAGAGCUGGAGUGCGGCAGAGGGGGAUGGAAUUCCGCGUGUAGCAGUGAAAUGCGUAGAUAUGCGGAGGAACACCGAUGGCGAAGGCAAUCCCCUGGGCCUGCACUGACGCUCAUGCACGAAAGCGUGGGGAGCAAACAGGAUUAGAUACCCUGGUAGUCCACGCCCUAAACGAUGUCAACUGGUUGUUGGGAAGGUUCCUUCUCAGUAACGUAGCUAACGCGUGAAGUUGACCGCCUGGGGAGUACGGCCG
RNAcentral lists this ribosomal RNA (863 nucleotides) under uncultured bacterium. Its description in RNAcentral is "bacterial SSU rRNA". It matches the Rfam family "Bacterial small subunit ribosomal RNA", at positions 22 to 888 of the family's 1533-position model. The record is from RNAcentral.